AAUGUACUUCCUCCGUCCAACAAAGGAUGUCUCAACUUAAGUUUGAUUGCAUCUAUGCUAACUCAUGUCUACGUACAUUCAAAUUUUGACAAACUUGAGACAUUUUUUGUUGGACGGAGGGAGUAAUAG
Brachypodium distachyon (stiff brome) is the source of this 129-nucleotide non-coding RNA. The record is from Rfam. NCBI's taxonomy places the organism in Eukaryota, Viridiplantae, Streptophyta, Magnoliopsida, Poales, Poaceae.